This 229-nucleotide ribosomal RNA is filed under the name uncultured bacterium. RNAcentral describes it as "partial 16S ribosomal RNA". It matches the Rfam family "Bacterial small subunit ribosomal RNA", at positions 568 to 796 of the family's 1533-position model. The record is from RNAcentral.
UGCGCAGGUGGUUUUGUAAGUCAGAUGUGAAAGCCCCGGGCUCAACCUGGGAACUGCGUUUGAAACUACAAGACUAGAGUGUGGCAGAGGGGGGUGGAAUUCCGCGUGUAGCAGUGAAAUGCGUAGAGAUGUGGAGGAACACCGAUGGCGAAGGCAGCCCCCUGGGUUAACACUGACGCUCAGGCACGAAAGCAUGGGGAGCAAACAGGAUUAGAUACCCUGGUAGUCC